ACGAAGUCGUGCCAUUUAUUCAUUGACUAGAAUUACGAUUAUUCAAUUUAUCCCUGAAACAUUAACCUGUGUAUAUAAGGGCCCCAAAGAGUUUACAGGCCGCAUUUGUUCAUUGGAUAGAAUUCCUGUAACACAGCGAUAUGAAGGCAUCUCUAGUUUUAUUGGUAUCGUUGGCUUUGGUGUCCCUGGCGCUUGGUCAGCAUCACAAUUCAUGCUUCAGUGACGCCGACUGUGAUAAGAUCUGCGGGGACGGGAUGGUGGGUCACUGCGAAUUCAACACGUGCCACUGCCACUUUGCGAACGAGUGCGUGCACGCCAGUGACUGCUCAUGCGGUGGAGGUCAGAUUGCCACGUGUGACAACCACCAAUGUCACUGUCACCACCACCGGAUGUGAGAUAUCACCUGCGUGCCGGAUCGACAUUCAUCAUGUAUCCAAAACGUCAUUGUUAUCACACUUAAAUUUGGAUUAUAUUUCCUGGAAAAUAAACCCAACUGAGAUGUU
Molecule: long non-coding RNA, 503 nt
Organism: Magallana angulata
Lineage: Eukaryota; Metazoa; Mollusca; Bivalvia; Ostreida; Ostreidae
Exons: 2
Source: RefSeq, a predicted model, not a curated record